CCUACGGGAGGCAGCAGUGGGGAAUCUUGCGCAAUGGGCGAAAGCCUGACGCAGCAACGCCGCGUGCGGGAAGAAGGCUUUCGGGCUGUAAACCGCUUUCAGCAGGAACGAAAAUGACGGUACCUGCAGAAGAAGGAGCGGCCAACUAUGUGCCAGCAGCCGCGGUGAUACAUAGGCUUCAAGCGUUGUCCGGAUUUAUUGGGCGUAAAGAGUUCGUAGGCGGUCAAGUAAGUCGGGUGUGAAAAUUCUGGGCUCAACCCAGAGACGCCACCCGAUACUGCUUAACUUGAGUUCGAUAGGGGAGUGGGGAAUUCCUAGUGUAGCGGUGAAAUGCGCAGAUAUUAGGAGGAACACCGGUGGCGAAGGCGCCACUCUGGAUCGAUACUGACGCUGAGGAACGAAAGCAUGGGUAGCAAACAGGAUUAGAUACCCUGGUAGUCCAUGCCGUAAACGGUGGGCACUAGGUGUGGGUUUCUAUUAACGAAAUCCGCGCCGUCGCUAACGCAUUAAGUGCCCCGCCUGGGGAGUACGGUCGCAAGACUAAAACUUAAAUGAAUUGACGG
This 563-nucleotide ribosomal RNA is filed under the name uncultured bacterium. Its description in RNAcentral is "bacterial SSU rRNA". It matches the Rfam family "Bacterial small subunit ribosomal RNA", at positions 338 to 916 of the family's 1533-position model. The record is from RNAcentral.